CUGUGAACAGCUUAGACUUCGCGUCUUUGCAAUUGCUUGGGUGUCGAAAGGCGCCCAAUCUUUAAAACUUUUAUAUUUGUUCUGAAACAAUGAAAAUUUAAAACUUUCAACAACGGAUCUCUUGGUUCUCGUAUCGAUGAAGAACGCAGCAAAGCGCGAUAGGUAAUGCGAAUUGCAGACGUGAGUCAUUGAAUUUUUGAACGCAUAUUGCGCUAUUAGUUUGUCUAAUAGCAUGCUUGUUGGAGUGAUAAUCUUCCUCUCAACCAUUUUUGGUAUGAGGUCUUGCUCCUUUUAGGAGUUAAAAUCAUGGAAGUGCACACGUUAAUUAACUCUGUGCAGUUAUACACUUUUCAUCCUCCAAUCAAGCAAGGUUACCCGCUGAACUUAAGCAUAUCAAUAAGCGGAGGAAAAGAAACCAACAGGGAUUGCCCUAGUAACGGCGAGUGAACAGGCAAGAGCUCAGAUUUGAAAGGCACUUUUGUGCCGUUGUAUUCUGAAGUUAGGGUCCUGAGAAACGAUGCUUAAGUCUUCUGGAAAGGAGCGCCAUGGAGGGUGAUAGCCCCGUCUAGCAUUGACCUCAUAUAGGAUCUUAACAUGGAGUCGAGUUGUUUGGGAAUGCAGCUCAAAUGGGUGGUAUGCUCCAUCUAAAGCUAAAUAUCUGCGAGAGACCGAUAGUAAACAAGUACUGUGAGGGAAAGAUGAAAAGAACUUUGAAAAGAGAGUGAAAAAGUACGUGAAAUUGUUGAAAUGGAAGGGUAGGCCGCUAACCAUGUAGAGCCGUGUUUGGGGGGAAGAUAAAUGCUGUAGAAUGUAGCUCCUCGGAGUAUUAUAGAUGCAGUUCAUAUUCCCACCCGAGCGCGAGGAUCUCAGUCUACUAAAGCAAGCCU
RNAcentral lists this ribosomal RNA (887 nucleotides) under Starmerella bacillaris. Its description in RNAcentral is "eukaryotic LSU rRNA". The stretch from base 352 to 887 matches the Rfam family "Eukaryotic large subunit ribosomal RNA", at positions 1 to 554 of the family's 3401-position model. The record is from RNAcentral. Lineage: Eukaryota; Fungi; Ascomycota; Dipodascomycetes; Dipodascales; Trichomonascaceae.